Molecule: long non-coding RNA, 226 nt
Filed under: Lathyrus oleraceus (garden pea)
Lineage: Eukaryota; Viridiplantae; Streptophyta; Magnoliopsida; Fabales; Fabaceae
Description: Pisum sativum (pea) long non-coding RNA (PSAT_LNC016555)
Source: RNAcentral
UGUUCGUUUGUUUUUAUUUUUAAAAUGCGUCAAAUAUAAACUUAUUUAUUUAUUUAUUUAUAAUCGACUUAUUUUGGGAUCCUUGUAUAUCAAGUCUUUGUGAGGGUAUCCAUUCAACUUCCUUCGAUUUCAAACUUCCAUAAUUCAAUCAUUUUAAUCUCAAACCUUUACAUUAACCUUUUCUUUCAAAUCCUUUUCAUAAGUGAAUCUGAAGAAAAAGAGUAUC